This is a non-coding RNA of Acanthosepion pharaonis, 110 nucleotides long. The record is from the annotation of a GenBank genome assembly. Lineage: Eukaryota; Metazoa; Mollusca; Cephalopoda; Sepiida; Sepiidae.
GGCCAUAUCAUGUUGAAACACAGGUUCUUGUAUGAUCACUAAAGUUAAGCAACAUUGGGCCUGGUUAGUACCUAAAUGGGUAACAGCUUGGGAAUACCAAGUGCUGUAAA